RNAcentral lists this ribosomal RNA (440 nucleotides) under uncultured bacterium. RNAcentral's name for it is "partial 16S ribosomal RNA". It matches the Rfam family "Bacterial small subunit ribosomal RNA", at positions 338 to 795 of the family's 1533-position model. The record is from RNAcentral.
CCUACGGGUGGCAGCAGUGGGGAAUAUUGCACAAUGGGGGAAACCCUGAUGCAGCGACGCCGCGUGAGUGAAGAAGUAUUUCGGUAUGUAAAGCUCUAUCAGCAGGGAAGAAAAUGACGGUACCUGAUUAAGAAGCCCCGGCUAACUACGUGCCAGCAGCCGCGGUAAUACGUAGGGGGCAAGCGUUAUCCGGAUUUACUGGGUGUAAAGGGAGCGUAGACGGCAGCACAAGUCUGGAGUGAAAUGCCGGGGCUUAACCCCGGAACUGCUUUGGAAACUGUGCAGCUAGAGUGCAGGAGAGGUUAGUGGAAUUCCUAGUGUAGCGGUGGAAUGCGUAGAUAUUAGGAGGAACACCAGAGGCGAAGGCGGCUAACUGGACUGCAACUGACGCUGAGGCACGAAAGUGUGGGGAGCAAACAGGAUUAGAUACCCUGGUAGUC